UUUCCGUAGGUGAACCUGCGGAAGGAUCAUUAAUAAUAAGUGAUUUAUGGAACUUUUUGUAAUCCAUCUCCCUCUCGUGCGCAAUGACAGGGUUGAUUUUUCUCUCGUGAGGACUAGCUCCAAACUUCAACUUUAUCUCAAUUUUUUGUGUGAAAAACUCUAUGUCUAAAAAAAUAUAAAACAUAAUUUUAAACAACGGAUAUUUAGGCUCUCGUGACGACGAAGAACGUAGACGAGCGCAACAGCACACGUUUGUACUCCGGUCACGAUUCGUCACUU
This 279-nucleotide unclassified non-coding RNA is filed under the name plant metagenome. RNAcentral's name for it is "partial contains small subunit ribosomal RNA, internal transcribed spacer 1, and 5.8S ribosomal RNA". The record is from RNAcentral.